AAAACGGCCCUUUUUAGGGCCACCAAAUUCUAUGAGAUUAAACGCUU
Regulatory RNA element from Tropilaelaps mercedesae, 47 nucleotides. It matches the Rfam family "Histone 3' UTR stem-loop". Rfam says of the family: The mRNAs of metazoan histone genes lack a poly-A tail. The record is from Rfam. NCBI's taxonomy places the organism in Eukaryota, Metazoa, Arthropoda, Arachnida, Mesostigmata, Laelapidae.